This 305-nucleotide ribosomal RNA is filed under the name Rhodopseudomonas palustris. RNAcentral describes it as "partial 16S ribosomal RNA". It matches the Rfam family "Bacterial small subunit ribosomal RNA", at positions 1 to 330 of the family's 1533-position model. Lineage: Bacteria; Pseudomonadati; Pseudomonadota; Alphaproteobacteria; Hyphomicrobiales; Nitrobacteraceae. The record is from RNAcentral.
UCCAACUUGAGAGUUUGAUCCUGGCUCAGAGCGAACGCUGGCGGCAGGCUUAACACAUGCAAGUCGAACGGGCAUAGCAAUAUGUCAGUGGCAGACGGGUGAGUAACACGUGGGAACGUACCUUUUGGUUCGGAACAACUGAGGGAAACUUCAGCUAAUACCGGAUAAGCCCUUACGGGGAAAGAUUUAUCGCCGAAAGAUCGGCCCGCGUCUGAUUAGCUAGUUGGUGAGGUAAUGGCUCACCAAGGCGACGAUCAGUAGCUGGUCUGAGAGGAUGAUCAGCCACAUUGGGACUGAGACACGGC